GGGCUGUUGGUCUAGCUUGGUAUAAAAUAUGCAUAAGCUAUUUGCCAAAGAUUCCUGACUUGGGCUCAGGAGCUCGUGGGUUCAAAGUUUAUGUGCGAUCUUGCACAAAAUGAAAAUCCUACACAGCCCACCA
RNAcentral lists this transfer RNA (133 nucleotides) under Promethearchaeota archaeon. RNAcentral's name for it is "Candidatus Lokiarchaeota archaeon (microbial mat metagenome) tRNA-Pro". Lineage: Archaea; Promethearchaeati; Promethearchaeota. The record is from RNAcentral.